CUGAUGGCGACCGGCGCACGGGUGAGUAACGCGUAUCCAACCUGCCCUUUACUAUGGGACAGCCCGUCGAAAGGCGGAUUAAUACCGUAUGUUGUCAUGUUGAUGCAUAUUUUCAUGACCAAAGGCUUCGGCCGGUAAAGGAUGGGGAUGCGUCUGAUUAGCUUGCCGGCGGGGUAACGGCCCACCGGGGCGACGAUCAGUAGGGGUUCUGAGAGGAAGGUCCCCCACAUCGGAACUGAGACACGGUCCAAACUCCUACGGAAGGCAGCAG
RNAcentral lists this ribosomal RNA (271 nucleotides) under uncultured bacterium. RNAcentral's name for it is "partial 16S ribosomal RNA". It matches the Rfam family "Bacterial small subunit ribosomal RNA", at positions 85 to 354 of the family's 1533-position model. The record is from RNAcentral.